This 506-nucleotide ribosomal RNA is filed under the name uncultured bacterium. RNAcentral's name for it is "partial 16S ribosomal RNA". It matches the Rfam family "Bacterial small subunit ribosomal RNA", at positions 30 to 523 of the family's 1533-position model. The record is from RNAcentral.
AUUGAACGCUGGCGGCAGGCUUAACAUAUGCAAGUCGAGCGGUAACAGAGAGAAGCUUGCUUCUCUGCUGACGAGCGGCGGACGGGUGAGUAAUGCCUAGGAAUCUGCCUAGUAGUGGGGGAUAACUUGCCGAAAGGUAAGCUAAUACCGCAUACGUCCUACGGGAGAAAGGAGGGGACCUUCGGGCCUUUCGCUAUUAGAUGAGCCUAGGUCGGAUUAGUUAGUUGGUGAGGUAAUGGCUCACCAAGACCGCGAUCCGUAACUGGUCUGGGAGGAUGAUCGGUCACACUGGAACUGAGACACGGUCCAGACUCCUACGGGAGGCAGCAGUGGGGAAUAUUGGACAAUGGGGGGAACCCCGAUCCAGCCAUGCCGCGUGUGUGAAGAAGGUCUUAGGAUUGUAAAGCACUUUAAGUUGGGAGGAAGAGCAGUUAACUAAUAUUUGACUGUUUUGACGUUACCGACAGAAUAAGCACCGGCUAACUUCGUGCCAGCCGCCGCAGUAA